Raphanus sativus (radish) is the source of this 936-nucleotide long non-coding RNA. RefSeq lists it as uncharacterized. NCBI's taxonomy places the organism in Eukaryota, Viridiplantae, Streptophyta, Magnoliopsida, Brassicales, Brassicaceae. The transcript has 2 exons. The record is from RefSeq and is a predicted model, not a curated record.
AUCUGUUUUAUAAUUUAUACUGGACUAAUACAAUUAAAUUUUGCCAUUAAAAAUAUAGUGCAAGUGCAUAGUGAACCACUCUAGAAUUAAAUUCACACCAAAGUCACACAACCUCUCUCUAGAUCUGCGCUCCGUCAGCCCGCAGUGGCGCGCGUGGUAGUCGGGGCCGCCCUCCUCUCCCCUUUCAUAUUUGUUAUUUGCUUCGUUUUCUCUUAUCUUUCUCUUCUCUGUCGUCUUGCUCGGAGCUGUGGGAUGAGCUUCUGAUCGUCUGCGGUAGUUGGCUUCGAUCUGGAGUUUCAGUGAGGUGGGUGGGCUGUGAGUGAACGGAGUCGGCAUUUAGGGUUUGGAGGCGGCGAUUAGAUGUGAUUUUCAGCUUUCUCGAUCUAGUCCUCCCUGUCUACGGUGAGAGCGUGUGAACGUGGUUAAAAGGUUACUCCUUUCAGAUCUGGUGAGCUUGCUGGUCUUCUCUGGGUUUGGAGUGAAGUGGUCCGGUGUCGUCUGAGUUCUGUCAUUGCUCUGUGUGGCGAGUCGCCAGUAGUACCUCAGAGCUCAUUAUGGAGACAUGCCUGUGGUGGUCCAGUUAUUCUGUGGUUGCCAUCCCAUGACAGUGUCAUGUUUGGUCGUCGGUUUGUUUCUCGAAUGGGCCAUCUAUAACCUGUGUUUAGAACUCUCCGGUCACCGUUGCUACUUUGUCUCCUCGUUUCACGCCUCUCUUGUGUUGUUAUAUCGUGUCUGGUCAAUGUGGUCGGCGUUACCAAGGUAUCAUCCAUUGUAAUCUCUUCGACAAGGCUUUGUAGAGCUCCCAUCGGUUCUCGGUGUGAACGCGAGUUAAGUGGAAGAAUUCAUUGGAUAUAAUUCCAUGAGAUGUGAGCACUAAUGGGAGUAAUCUUAAAGUACAUUUCACCUUUUAUAACUUAUAACAUUUAUUCUCUUUUA